UACGGGGGGGGCAAGCGUUGUUCGGAAUUACUGGGCGUAAAGGGCGCGUAGGCGGCCUACUAAGUCGGACGUGAAAUCCCUCGGCUCAACCGAGGAACUGCGUCCGAUACUGGCAGGCUGGAAUCCGGGAGAGGGAUGUGGAAUUCCAGGUGUAGCGGUGAAAUGCGUAGAUAUCUGGAGGAACACCGGUGGCGAAGGCGGCAUCCUGGACCGGCAUUGACGCUGAGGCGCGAAAGCCAGGGGAGCAAACGGG
Molecule: ribosomal RNA, 253 nt
Filed under: uncultured bacterium
Lineage: Bacteria
Description: partial 16S ribosomal RNA
Rfam family: Bacterial small subunit ribosomal RNA
Source: RNAcentral